This 616-nucleotide long non-coding RNA is filed under the name Physcomitrium patens. Its description in RNAcentral is "long non-coding RNA (PPAT_LNC000029)". The record is from RNAcentral. Lineage: Eukaryota; Viridiplantae; Streptophyta; Bryopsida; Funariales; Funariaceae.
GACCAUAAUAAUGCUAAGCAAGCUUAAUCGAAUUCAAAAAAAUUUAAAGAAAUUUCAAACAAAUAAUAAGAAUUCUUAAAAAAAUAUUAGAAGGAUUACAAAUAUCACUCAAAUACAUCUCAAUUCAAUCUUUAUUUAAUUCUAGUCAAAAUUAUAUUGAACUUUAUUCAAAAUAUAAGCCAAAAUUGAUUAAAUAUUAAACCCUAAAUCCUAAAUCAAAUCCUAAUCAAACCAUAAAUCUUAAAUCAAUUCCUAAAUCAAACUCUAAAUCCUAAUCCAAAACUUAUCCAAAUCCUAAACCCUAAACCAAAUCCUAAAUCAAAUCCUAAAUCCUAAAUCAAGUCUUAAAUCCUAAAUCAAGCCCUAAAUCCUAACCAUACCCUAAUCCAAAUCCUAAACUCUAAACCAAACCCUAACCAAAUCUUAAUCCAAAUCUUAAAUCCUAAUCAAAUCCUAAUCUAAACUCUAAUCCAAACCCUAAACCAAAUCCUAAACCAUAACCAAAUCCUAAAUCCUAAACCAAAACCUAACCUUAAACCAAAACUUAACCAAAUCCUAGUAAUUCCUAUAACAGAUAUAAUCCUCAAUAACUAAUGAAUAAACCGUUGAUCUUAAC